This 371-nucleotide ribosomal RNA is filed under the name Listeria monocytogenes. Its description in RNAcentral is "bacterial SSU rRNA". It matches the Rfam family "Bacterial small subunit ribosomal RNA", at positions 220 to 583 of the family's 1533-position model. Lineage: Bacteria; Bacillati; Bacillota; Bacilli; Caryophanales; Listeriaceae. The record is from RNAcentral.
UACAGAUGGGCCCGCGGUGCAUUAGCUAGUUGGUAGGGUAAUGGCCUACCAAGGCAACGAUGCAUAGCCGACCUGAGAGGGUGAUCGGCCACACUGGGACUGAGACACGGCCCAGACUCCUACGGGAGGCAGCAGUAGGGAAUCUUCCGCAAUGGACGAAAGUCUGACGGAGCAACGCCGCGUGUAUGAAGAAGGUUUUCGGAUCGUAAAGUACUGUUGUUAGAGAAGAACAAGGAUAAGAGUAACUGCUUGUCCCUUGACGGUAUCUAACCAGAAAGCCACGGCUAACUACGUGCCAGCAGCCGCGGUAAUACGUAGGUGGCAAGCGUUGUCCGGAUUUAUUGGGCGUAAAGCGCGCGCAGGCGGUCUUU